CAGUCGCCGCGGUAAUACGGAGGGUGCAAGCGUUAAUCGGAAUUACUGGGCAUAAAGCGUGCGUAGGCGGUUCGUUAAGUCUGUUGUGAAAGCCCCGGGCUCAACCUGGGAAUGGCAAUGGAUACUGGCGAGCUAGAGUGUGUCAGAGGAUGGUGGAAUUCCCGGUGUAGCGGUGAAAUGCGUAGAGAUCGGGAGGAACAUCAGUGGCGAAGGCGGCCAUCUGGGACAACACUGACGCUGAGGCACGAAAGCGUGGGGAGCAAACAGGAUUAGAUACCCGUGUAGUCCCUGUCUCUUAUAA
RNAcentral lists this ribosomal RNA (301 nucleotides) under uncultured bacterium. RNAcentral's name for it is "partial 16S ribosomal RNA". It matches the Rfam family "Bacterial small subunit ribosomal RNA", at positions 509 to 809 of the family's 1533-position model. The record is from RNAcentral.